GAUAGCAAUAUUUAACAUGUUCAGCGGCGCAAGGGUGUGUAACACGUGGGUAAUAUUCCUAUGAGUUUGGAACAACUCCGAGAAAUCGGAGCUAAUACCAAAUAAUUUGAUGAACUGGCAUCAGUUUAUCAAUAAAGUUGGGGACCGUAAGGCCUGACGCUCUAAGAUUAGCCCGCGGCCUAUCAGCUAGUUGGUGAGGUAACGGCUCACCAAGGCGGUGACGGGUAGCUGGUCUGAGAGGACGACCAGCCACACUGGAACUGAGACACGGUCCAGACACCUACGGGUGGCAGCAGUCGAGAAUUUUUCUCAAUGGGGGAAACCCUGAAGGAGCGACGCCGCGUGGGGGAUGAAUGGCUUCGGCCCGUAAACCCCUGUCAUCUGCGAGCAAUAUCUGUCACCUAACAAGUAGCAGUUUGAUAGUAGCGGAAGAGGAAGGGACGGCUAACUCUGUGCCAGCAGCCGCGGUAAUACAGAGGUCCCAAGCGUUGUUCGGAUUUACUGGGCGUAAAGGGUGCGUAGGUGGCAUGCAAAGUCUGAUGUGAAAUCUUGAAGCUUAACUUCGAAACUGCAUUGGAAACUGGUGUGCUAGAGUAGUGUAGGGGAGACUGGAAUGCUCGGUGUAGCAGUGAAAUGCGUAGAUAUCGAGCGGAACACCAGUGGCGAAGGCGAGUCUCUGGACACUGACUGACACUGAGGCACGAAAGCCAAGGGAGCAAACGGGAUUAGAUACCCCGGUAGUCUUGGCUGUAAACGGUGCGCAUUUGCUGUGAGCAGAUU
This 780-nucleotide ribosomal RNA is filed under the name uncultured bacterium. RNAcentral describes it as "bacterial SSU rRNA". It matches the Rfam family "Bacterial small subunit ribosomal RNA", at positions 75 to 832 of the family's 1533-position model. The record is from RNAcentral.